GAAAGUUCAAUCUUCUUUGCAUUUGUUUGUGCAAACUUGGCAGAAAAUGCCUGUCUUAAUCUGCUUCAUAUUUUCAGCAACUUGCACAGCACUAGAUAAGUAGUAAGUGUCAAUAAAUAUUUGUUAACUACAUAAAUUGAUGAUGGAAAAAAGAAGAGUAUCGGACAUAAAUUGAUAGAACUCAUCAAGCUUUGUCAAGCUGGUCCCAGGCUUUUUAAAAUCUCUUAGAAAAUGCCCUUUCUUGGAGCAAUACUGAAACGUUGAGAAUGUGGAUUAGAAUAAUCAGCAGAGAGGCCUCGGAGAUGUAUCCCACCAAAGAAGCCUUGGACAGCCCACAGUGUAUCUGGAAUUGGUUCCUUCCAGUGGGCUCUUGG
Chlorocebus sabaeus (green monkey) is the source of this 374-nucleotide long non-coding RNA. RefSeq lists it as uncharacterized. The record is from RefSeq and is a predicted model, not a curated record. NCBI's taxonomy places the organism in Eukaryota, Metazoa, Chordata, Mammalia, Primates, Cercopithecidae.